AAGAGUGCUUUGCAUUAAUGGGAACCAUCAAUGACAUACUUUUAAAAAAACACCAAAACAAUAAUCCCUUUGGAUCUGCAAGAACCAGGAUCUAGUCCCUACUUUAUUACUGACCAUCUCCUCUGGAUUUCAGUGUCCUAGCCCGUAAAGUCUGACUUGAAGCCAUUCAACUUUUAGAGAGAUCCUUUAAGUUCAUUCAAGAUACUAGCUUCAGAGAUCAGAAUCUUGUUCAGAACUGCGCUUCUUGUCCUCUGAGAAUCAUAAAUAUAUGAAUAAGUUCCAGCAAUGUACUGAACAGGAAGGUACUAUAGUUCAAGUACUUUGGAAUACACAGAGUAACUGAAUCUCAGCCGACCGACUGAACGUUAUCUACCAAAGGGACUUAGCAAACUGGUUAACAAAUGGCCUGUCAUUAGGUAAUACAGAUUACUUAUAAACAAAUGUAUUUCCGAGAUCCUUAAGAAUACAGUACCCAAAAAUGU
Canis lupus familiaris (dog) is the source of this 482-nucleotide long non-coding RNA. RefSeq lists it as uncharacterized. The record is from RefSeq and is a predicted model, not a curated record. NCBI's taxonomy places the organism in Eukaryota, Metazoa, Chordata, Mammalia, Carnivora, Canidae. The transcript has 3 exons.